RNAcentral lists this ribosomal RNA (982 nucleotides) under Bacillus sp. (in: firmicutes). RNAcentral's name for it is "bacterial SSU rRNA". It matches the Rfam family "Bacterial small subunit ribosomal RNA", at positions 62 to 1025 of the family's 1533-position model. The record is from RNAcentral. Lineage: Bacteria; Bacillati; Bacillota; Bacilli; Caryophanales; Bacillaceae.
UCGAGCGGACCGACGGGAGCUUGCUCCCUUAGGUCAGCGGCGGACGGGUGAGUAACACGUGGGUAACCUGCCUGUAAGACUGGGAUAACUCCGGGAAACCGGGGCUAAUACCGGAUGCUUGAUUGAACCGCAUGGUUCAAUCAUAAAAGGUGGCUUUUAGCUACCACUUACAGAUGGACCCGCGGCGCAUUAGCUAGUUGGUGAGGUAACGGCUCACCAAGGCGACGAUGCGUAGCCGACCUGAGAGGGUGAUCGGCCACACUGGGACUGAGACACGGCCCAGACUCCUACGGGAGGCAGCAGUAGGGAAUCUUCCGCAAUGGACGAAAGUCUGACGGAGCAACGCCGCGUGAGUGAUGAAGGUUUUCGGAUCGUAAAACUCUGUUGUUAGGGAAGAACAAGUACCGUUCGAAUAGGGCGGCACCUUGACGGUACCUAACCAGAAAGCCACGGCUAACUACGUGCCAGCAGCCGCGGUAAUACGUAGGUGGCAAGCGUUGUCCGGAAUUAUUGGGCGUAAAGCGCGCGCAGGCGGUUUCUUAAGUCUGAUGUGAAAGCCCCCGGCUCAACCGGGGAGGGUCAUUGGAAACUGGGGAACUUGAGUGCAGAAGAGGAGAGUGGAAUUCCACGUGUAGCGGUGAAAUGCGUAGAGAUGUGGAGGAACACCAGUGGCGAAGGCGACUCUCUGGUCUGUAACUGACGCUGAGGCGCGAAAGCGUGGGGAGCGAACAGGAUUAGAUACCCUGGUAGUCCACGCCGUAAACGAUGAGUGCUAAGUGUUAGAGGGUUUCCGCCCUUUAGUGCUGCAGCAAACGCAUUAAGCACUCCGCCUGGGGAGUACGGUCGCAAGACUGAAACUCAAAGGAAUUGACGGGGGCCCGCACAAGCGGUGGAGCAUGUGGUUUAAUUCGAAGCAACGCGAAGAACCUUACCAGGUCUUGACAUCCUCUGACAACCCUAGAGAUAGGCUUCCCCUUCGGGG